GAUGAACGCUGGCGGCGUGCCUAAUACAUGCAAGUCGAGCGAACAGACGAGGAGCUUGCUCCUCUGAUGUUAGCGGCGGACGGGUGAGUAACACGUGGAUAACCUACCUAUAAGACUGGGAUAACUUCGGGAAACCGGAGCUAAUACCGGAUAACAUGUUGAACCGCAUGGUUCAACAGUGAAAGACGGUCUUGCUGUCACUUAUAGAUGGAUCCGCGCCGCAUUAGCUAGUUGGUAAGGUAACGGCUUACCAAGGCAACGAUGCGUAGCCGACCUGAGAGGGUGAUCGGCCACACUGGAACUGAGACACGGUCCAGACUCCUACGGGAGGCAGCAGUAGGGAAUCUUCCGCAAUGGGCGAAAGCCUGACGGAGCAACGCCGCGUGAGUGAAGAAGGUCUUCGGAUCGUAAAACUCUGUUAUUAGGGAAGAACAAAUGAGUAAGUAACUAUGCACGUCUUGACGGUACCUAAUCAGAAAGCCACGGCUAACUACGUG
RNAcentral lists this ribosomal RNA (497 nucleotides) under uncultured bacterium. RNAcentral's name for it is "partial 16S ribosomal RNA". It matches the Rfam family "Bacterial small subunit ribosomal RNA", at positions 28 to 507 of the family's 1533-position model. The record is from RNAcentral.